AUUGAACGCUGGCGGCAUGCCUUACACAUGCAAGUCGAACGGCAGCACGGGUGCUUGCACCUGGUGGCGAGUGGCGAACGGGUGAGUAAUACAUCGGAACGUACCUUAUCGUGGGGGAUAACGCAGCGAAAGCUGUGCUAAUACCGCAUACGCCCUGAGGGGGAAAGCGGGGGAUCGCAAGACCUCGCGCGAUUAGAGCGGCCGAUGCCUGAUUAGCUUGUUGGUGGGGUAAAAGCCCACCAAGGCGACGAUCAUUAGCUAGUCUGAGAGGACGGUCAGCCACACUGGGACUGAGAAACGGCCCAGACUCCGACGGGAGGCAGCAGUGGGGAAUUUUGGACAAUGGGGGCAACCCUGAUCCAGCAAUGCCGCGUGAGUGAAGAAGGCCUUCGGGUUGUAAAGCUCUUUUGUCAGGGAAGAAACACCGGCUCUAACACAGUCCGGGAAUGACGGUACCUGAAGAAUAAGCACCGGCUAACUACGUGCCAGCAGCCGCAGUAA
RNAcentral lists this ribosomal RNA (501 nucleotides) under uncultured bacterium. Its description in RNAcentral is "partial 16S ribosomal RNA". It matches the Rfam family "Bacterial small subunit ribosomal RNA", at positions 29 to 523 of the family's 1533-position model. The record is from RNAcentral.